This 364-nucleotide ribosomal RNA is filed under the name uncultured bacterium. Its description in RNAcentral is "bacterial SSU rRNA". It matches the Rfam family "Bacterial small subunit ribosomal RNA", at positions 1139 to 1501 of the family's 1533-position model. The record is from RNAcentral.
UCUAGCGAGACUGCCGGUGAUAAACCGGAGGAAGGUGUGGACGAUGUCAAAUCAUCAUGCCCCUUAUGCUCUGGGCUACACACGUGUUACAAUGGGUAGGACAACGAGCAGCCAGCUGGCAACAGCGAGCAAAUCUCUUAAACCUAUUCUCAGUUCGGAUCGUAGUCUGCAACUCGACUACGUGAAGUCGGAAUCGCUAGUAAACGCAGAUCAGCACGCUGCGUUGAAUACGUUCCCGGGCCUUGUACACACCGCCCGUCACACCAUGGGAGCUGAUCAUGCCCGAAGUCGGUGCGUUAACCUUUUAGGAGACAGCCGCCUAAGGUAGGGUUAGUGACUGGGGUGAAGUCGUAACAAGGUAACC